RNAcentral lists this non-coding RNA (25 nucleotides) under Rattus norvegicus (Norway rat). The record is from RNAcentral. Lineage: Eukaryota; Metazoa; Chordata; Mammalia; Rodentia; Muridae.
UGCCGCGAUGAUGUCAGCACACGGG